Molecule: ribosomal RNA, 468 nt
Filed under: uncultured bacterium
Lineage: Bacteria
Description: bacterial SSU rRNA
Rfam family: Bacterial small subunit ribosomal RNA
Source: RNAcentral
AGAGUUUGAUCAUGGCUCAGAACGUACGCUGGCGGCACGCCUUAUACAUGCAAGUCGAACGAAGUAGCAAUACUUAGUGGCAGACGGGUGAGUAACAUGUAGGUAUCUUCCCUUUGGUGAGGAAUAACACGAGGAAACUUGUGCUAAUACCUCAUAAGUCUUUACGGAGAAAGCUUUAUGCGCCGAAGGAUGAGCCUGCACUUGAUUAGUUUGUUGGUGGGGUAAUGGCCUACCAAGACUUUGAUCUAUAGCUGAUCUGAGAGGAUGAUCAGCCACAUUGGGACUGAGACACGGCCCAAACUCCUACGGGAGGCAGCAGUAGGGAAUAUUGCACAAUGGAGGAAACUCUGAUGCAGCGAUGCCGCGUGAGUGAAGAAGGCCCUUGGGUUGUAAAGCUCUUUCGUCGGGGAAGAAAAUGACUGUACCCGAAUAAGAAGGUCCGGCUAACUUCGUGCCAGCAGCCGCGGU